GGUAAUUUAUGAACACAAACAAAACGUGACCUACAGGUUUCAAACCUAGCUUGCAAUGCACGUUACAGUUUAUAUUAAGAGUUAGUUUGAAUAUUGGUGAAUAUAUAUAUUUAGGCACUUGACGGGAUCUGGAUCGGAGAAGAUAGAGAAUGCUCGGAUGAAGGUGGGGAGCAGAGUGCAGGAUACCAAGUAUGGGCAGCACAACAUUGGAGUCCAACACCAACAAGCUUCUUAAAAUUCAAAGGCUAAAAUCGAUUUCCCACAUUAAAUUGUCAUCCAUCGUUUGAUCUCUCUUCUCAUUGUUUUUCCUCAACGUUUGUGUUGUCAUAAUGUAUGAUAAUAACAUGCAAUGUAUGAUGUAAUCUUAAUUUCCUUCUUCUUUUCUUUGUUGUUGGUUUGCGAGUAAUGUUUUGAUCCUUCUAUUCUAUGUGAGCGGAAAUCUUCAUAUAGACACUUAGUGGCAUUGGUACAUUAC
RNAcentral lists this long non-coding RNA (475 nucleotides) under Arabidopsis lyrata. RNAcentral describes it as "long non-coding RNA (ALYR_LNC000603)". Lineage: Eukaryota; Viridiplantae; Streptophyta; Magnoliopsida; Brassicales; Brassicaceae. The record is from RNAcentral.